GAUGAACGCUGCGGCGUGCCUAAUACAUGCAAGUCGAGCGAACAGACGAGGAGCUUGCUCCUCUGACGUUAGCGGCGGACGGGUGAGUAACACGUGGAUAACCUACCUAUAAGACGGGGAUAACUUCGGGAAACCGGAGCUAAUACCGGAUAAUAUAUUUAACCGCAUGGUUCAAUAGUGAAAGACGGUUUUGCUGUCACUUAUAGAUGGAUCCGCGCCGCAUUAGCUAGUUGGUAAGGUAACGGCUUACCAAGGCAACGAUGCGUAGCCGACCUGAGAGGGUGAUCGGCCACCCUGGAACUGAGACACGGUCCAGACUCCUACGGGAGGCAGCAGUAGGGAAUUUUCCGCAAAGGGCGAAAGCCUGACGGAGCAACGCCGCGUGAGUGAUGAAGGUCUUCGGAUCGUAAAACUCUGUUAUUAGGGAAGAACAAAUGUGUAAGUAAAUAUGCACGUCUUGACGGUACCUAAUCAGAAAGCCACGGCUAACUACGUG
This 496-nucleotide ribosomal RNA is filed under the name uncultured bacterium. RNAcentral's name for it is "partial 16S ribosomal RNA". It matches the Rfam family "Bacterial small subunit ribosomal RNA", at positions 28 to 507 of the family's 1533-position model. The record is from RNAcentral.